GCGUAUAUUAAAGUUGCUGCGUUUAAAAAGCUCGUAGUUGUAUCUCAGUUCAUGUCAAUUGGUCAAUCACUUAUUAGUGAUUACUUUUUGACUGAACAUUGAACCGAUUUGUUUUCUGAUGCUCUUUACCGAGUGUUAUUAACGAUCGGGAUCUUUACUUUGAAAAAAUUAAAGUGCUCAAAGCAGGCAUUUCGCCUAAAUAUUCUUGCAUGGAAUAAUGGAAUAAGAUCUAGGUUCUAUUCUGUUGGUCUUUUGAACCUCAGUUAAUGAUUAAAAGGGACAGACGGGGGCAUUCGUAUUGCGGCGCUAGAGGUGAAAUUCUUGGACCGUCGCAAGACGAACUAC
Molecule: ribosomal RNA, 345 nt
Filed under: Demodex caprae
Lineage: Eukaryota; Metazoa; Arthropoda; Arachnida; Trombidiformes; Demodicidae
Description: SSU rRNA
Rfam family: Eukaryotic small subunit ribosomal RNA
Source: RNAcentral